RNAcentral lists this ribosomal RNA (1075 nucleotides) under uncultured beta proteobacterium. RNAcentral's name for it is "bacterial SSU rRNA". It matches the Rfam family "Bacterial small subunit ribosomal RNA", at positions 8 to 967 of the family's 1533-position model. Lineage: Bacteria; Pseudomonadati; Pseudomonadota; Betaproteobacteria. The record is from RNAcentral.
AGAGUUUGAUCCUGGCUCAGAUUGAACGCUGAUGCCUUACACAUGCAAGUCGAACGGCAGCACGGGAGCUUGCUCCUGGUGGCGAGUGGCGAACGGGUGAGUAAUACAUCGGAACGUGCCCAGUAGUGGGGGAUAGCCCGGCGAAAGCCGGAUUAAUACCGCAUACGACCUACGGGUGAAAGCGGGGGACCGAAGGCCUCGCGCUAUUGGAGCGGCCGAUGUCUGAUUAGCUUGUUGGUGGGGUAAAAGCCCACCAAGGCGACGAUCAGUAGCUGGUCUGAGAGGACGAUCAGCCACACUGGGACUGCCCACCAAGGCGACGAUCAGUAGCUGGUCUGAGAGGACGAUCAGCCACACUGGGACUGCCCACCAAGGCGACGAUCAGUAGCUGGUCUGAGAGGACGAUCAGCCACACUGGGACUGAACACGGCCCAGACUCCUACGGGAGGCAGCAGUGGGGAAUUUUGGACAAUGGGGGCAACCCUGAUCCAGCAAUGCCGCGUGUGCGAAGAAGGCCUUCGGGUUGUAAAGCACUUUUGUCAGGGAAGAAAUCUUUCAGGCUAAUACCCUUGGAAGGAUGACGGUACCUGAAGAAUAAGCACCGGCUAACUACGUGCCAGCAGCCGCGGUAAUACGUAGGGUGCAAGCGUUAAUCGGAAUUACUGGGCGUAAAGCGUGCGCAGGCGGUUUGCUAAGACAGUUGUGAAAUCCCCGGGCUUAACCUGGGAACUGCAAUUGUGACUGGCAAGCUAGAGUACGGCAGAGGGGGGUGGAAUUCCUGGUGUAGCAGUGAAAUGCGUAGAGAUCAGGAGGAACACCGAUGGCGAAGGCAGCCCCCUGGGCUAGUACUGACGCUCAUGCACGAAAGCGUGGGGAGCAAACAGGAUUAGAUACCCUGUAGUCCACGCCCUAAACGAUGUCAAUUAGUUGUUGGUCCUUUAUUGGAUCAGUAACGAAGCUAACGCGUGAAAUUGACCGCCUGGGGAGUACGGUCGCAAGAAUUAAAACUCAAAGGAAUUGACGGGAACCCGCACAAGCGGUGGAUGAUGUGAAUUAAUUCGAUGCAACGCGAAAA